AUGGAAAAGAGAGAGUAGAUGGAAAGUGUAAUUGCUUUGGUACUAUAACUAGUCUAAUGGAAUAUUAUUUCAAGACCCUUUACUAUGCAUUUCCCUCCUAUAAAUACUUGCUCCUUAUGCAGCAAGAGAUAUCAAACACUCUGCAGAUUCUAUUUUCUCUUACAUGACUCUUAAUUUUCCUUUUUUAUCAAAGGGGUGGAGGAGGAGUUAAUAGGGAAUUAUGUUGUUGACAGAAGAUAGAGAGCACAGAUGAUGAUAUGCAUUUGUAGGACCUGCUGGCUGCAUCAAUGGAUUGUGCAUCUCACUCCUUUGUGCUCUCUAUGCUUCUGUCAUCACCUUCUUCCUCCAAUUUCCAUUAACUUUCCUCUAUUCCCAAUUUUUUUUUAUGUUGCGACCAAAUAGCGAUGCAAAUGUUAAGACAUGUUUGAUGUGUGAUAUGUGUCACUAUCCAAGUGUCUAAUGCAGAUAUAUAUUGGAGAUGUGCACAUGCUGUGGCUGCUAGAGACCUGUUUGUUGAUGUCAUGCAGAAUUUGCUUGGAUGGCAUUAAUUCAUGAUCUAGUGGAAGCUGCGGUUUUGAACUUCUUCUACUUAUUCUUGUUUUUGUUGGUGUGGUUUUUUGUGUAUUCUCAAUUUGUUUAUGAUAUUAAAUUUUUGUUCAA
Long non-coding RNA from Vicia villosa (hairy vetch), 660 nucleotides. RefSeq lists it as uncharacterized. The transcript is spliced from 2 exons. NCBI's taxonomy places the organism in Eukaryota, Viridiplantae, Streptophyta, Magnoliopsida, Fabales, Fabaceae. The record is from RefSeq and is a predicted model, not a curated record.